UACGUAGGUGGCGAGCGUUAUCCGGAAUUAUUGGGCGUAAAGAGCGCGCAGGUGGUUGAUUAAGUCUGAUGUGAAAGCCCACGGCUUAACCGUGGAGGGUCAUUGGAAACUGGUCGACUUGAGUGCAGAAGAGGGAAGUGGAAUUCCAUGUGUAGCGGUGAAAUGCGUAGAGAUAUGGAGGAACACCAGUGGCGAAGGCGAUUCUCUGGACUGUAACUGACGCUGAGGCUCGAAAGCGUGGGGAGCAAACAGGAUUAGA
RNAcentral lists this ribosomal RNA (259 nucleotides) under uncultured prokaryote. RNAcentral's name for it is "partial 16S ribosomal RNA". It matches the Rfam family "Bacterial small subunit ribosomal RNA", at positions 524 to 782 of the family's 1533-position model. The record is from RNAcentral.